GUUAACUUGAGACUCUGAAGUAGUUGUACAAGAUCCUACAUUGCUAUCAGAAAAAAAAUUAAUCUUCCAGUCAAGGACAUUGAUACAAGCGGAGGCACUUAAACCUGUGUUGAAAUCCUGUGAACCAUCACUGAUCGAAAUGGUUACAGAAGAAUGAACAUCAUCUGGAAGAAUACUGUUUGUUUUGUACAAAUGUGACGUCCCCACACAUGUUUAUGCAAUGAUGAUAAUAAAAUUUUGCUUUGGAGGUGCAA
This is a long non-coding RNA of Pristis pectinata (smalltooth sawfish), 254 nucleotides long. RefSeq lists it as uncharacterized. Lineage: Eukaryota; Metazoa; Chordata; Chondrichthyes; Rhinopristiformes; Pristidae. The record is from RefSeq and is a predicted model, not a curated record. The transcript is spliced from 2 exons.